CCUACGGGUGGCAGCAGUGGGGAAUAUUGCACAAUGGGGGAAACCCUGAUCCAGCGAGGCCGCGUGGGUGAAGAGGUAAUUCGUUAGGUAAAGCUCUUUCAGCAGGGAAGAAAAUGACGUUACCUGAGUAAGAGGCCCCGGCUAACGACGUGCCAGAAGCCGCGGUAAUACGUAGGGGGCAGGCGUUAUCCGGAUUUACUGGGUGUAAGGGGGGCGUAGACGGUGCGCCAAGUCUGGAGUGAAAUGCCGCGGCUUAACUGCGGAACUGCUUUGGAAACUGGCGAACUAGAGUGCGGGAGGGGUAAGCGGAAUUCCUAGUGUAGCGGUGAAAUGCGUAGAUAUUAGGAGGAACACCGGUGGCGAAGGCGGCUUACUGGACCGUAACUGACGUUGAGGCUCGAAAGCGUGGGGAGCAAACAGGAUUAGAUACCCUAGUAGUC
Molecule: ribosomal RNA, 440 nt
Filed under: uncultured bacterium
Lineage: Bacteria
Description: partial 16S ribosomal RNA
Rfam family: Bacterial small subunit ribosomal RNA
Source: RNAcentral